This 591-nucleotide ribosomal RNA is filed under the name Lophodermium conigenum. Its description in RNAcentral is "partial large subunit ribosomal RNA". It matches the Rfam family "Eukaryotic large subunit ribosomal RNA", at positions 51 to 656 of the family's 3401-position model. Lineage: Eukaryota; Fungi; Ascomycota; Leotiomycetes; Rhytismatales; Rhytismataceae. The record is from RNAcentral.
CGGAGGAAAAGAAACCAACAGGGAUUGCCUCAGUAACGGCGAGUGAAGCGGCAACAGCUCAAAUUUGAAAGCUGGCUCCUUCGGGGCCCGCGUUGUAAUUUGUAGAGGAUGCUUCGGGUGCGGCUCCGGUCUAAGUUCUCUGGAACGAGACGUCAUAGAGGGUGAGAAUCCCGUAUGUGACCGGCGGCUUGCGCCCAUGUGAAGCUCCUUCGACGAGUCGAGUUGUUUGGGAAUGCAGCUCUAAAUGGGAGGUGUACUCCUUCUAAAGCUAAAUAUUGGCCAGAGACCGAUAGCGCACAAGUAGAGUGAUCGAAAGAUGAAAAGCACUUUGGAAAGAGAGUUAAACAGUACGUGAAAUUGUUGAAAGGGAAGCGCUUGCAAUCAGACUUGCGCGGCGCCGAUCAGCCUGGGUUCUCCCUGGUGCACUCGGCGCCGCUCAGGCCAGCAUCAGUUUCGGCGGUGGGAUAAAGGCCUAGGGAACGUGGGUCGCCUCGGCGACCGUUAUAGCCCUAGGUGCAAUGCCGCCUGCCGGGACUGAGGACCGCGCUUCGGCUAGGAUGCUGGCGUAAUGGUUGUAAGCGACCCGUCUUG